CAAUAGGCCGGCUUUUGAACUGCUUCGCAGGGGACUUGGAAGACCUGGACCAGCUCUUGCCCAUCUUUUCAGAGCAGUUCCUGGUCCUGUCCUUAAUGGCGAUCGCCAUCCUGUUGAUUGUCAGUGUGCUGUCUCCAUAUAUCCUGUUAAUAGGAGCCAUAAUCAUGGUUAUUUGCCUCGUUUAUUAUAAGAUGUUCAAGAAGGCCAUCGGUGUGUUCAAGAGACUGGAGAACUAUAGCCGGUCUCCUUUAUUCUCCCACAUCCUCAAUUCUCUGCAAGGCCUGAGCUCCAUCCAUGUCUAUGGAAAAACUGAAGACUUCAUCAGCCAGUUGAAGAGGCUGGCUGAUGCACAGAAUAACUACCUGCUGUUGUUUCUAUCUUCCACGCGAUGGAUGGCAUUGAGGCUAGAGAUCUUGACCAACUUUGUGACCUUGGCUGUUGCCCUGUACGUGGCUUUUGACAUUUCCUCCACCCGCUACUCCUUUAAAGCCAUGGCUGUCAACAUCGUGCUGCAGCUGGCGUCCAGCUUCCAGGCCAGUGUCCGGAUUGGCUUGGAGACAGAGGCAUACUUCACGGCUGCAGAGAGGAUACUGCAGUACAUGAAGAUGUGUGUCUCGGAAGCUCCUUUACAUAUGGAAGGCACAAGUUGUCCCCAGGGGUGGCCACAGCAUGGGGAAAUCACAUUUCAGGAUUAUCACAUGAAAUACAGAGACAACACACCCACUGUGCUUCACGGCAUCAACCUGACCAUCCGCGGCCACGAAGUGGUGGGCAUCGUGGGAAGGACGGGCUCUGUAGGUUUUUACUGAGCACCUGCUAUGUGCCUGGGAACUGAAAGGGAAGUCCUCCUUGGGCAUGGCUCUUUUCCGCCUGGUGGAGCCCAUGGCAGGCCGGAUUCUCAUUGACGGCGUUGACAUUUGCAGCAUCGGCCUGGAGGACUUGCGGUCCAAGCUCUCAGUGAUCCCUCAAGAUCCAGUGCUGCUCUCAGGAACCAUCAGAUUCAACCUAGAUCCCUUUGACCGUCACACUGACCAGCAGAUCUGGGAUGCUUUGGAGAGGACAUUCUUGACCAAGGCCAUCUCAAAGUUCCCCAAAAAGCUGCAUACGGAUGUGGUGGUAAACGGUGGAAACUUCUCUGUGGGGGAGAGGCAGCUGCUCUGCAUUGCUCGGGCUGUGCUUCGCAACUCCAAGAUCAUCCUUAUCGAUGAAGCCACAGCCUCCAUUGACAUGGAGACAGACACCCUGAUCCAGCGCACAAUCCGUGAAGCCUUCCAGGGCUGCACCGUGCUUGUCAUUGCCCACCGUGUCACCACCGUGCUGAACUGUGACCGCAUCUUGGUUAUGGGCAAUGGGAAGGUGGUAGAGUUUGAUCGGCCGGAGGUCCUGCGGAAGAAGCCUGGGUCAUUGUUCGCAGCCCUCAUGGCCACAGCCACUUCUUCACUGAGAUAAGGAGAUGUGGAGACUUCAUGGAGGCUGGCGGCUGAGCUCAGAGGUUCACACAGGUGCAGCUUCGAGGCCCACAGUCUGCGACCUUCUUGUUUGGAGAUGAGAACUUCUCCUGGAAGCAGGGGUAAAUGUAGCGGGGGGUGGGGAUUGCUGGAUGGAAACCCUGGAACAGGCUACUUGAUGGCUCUCAAGACCUUAGAACCCCAGAACCAUCUAAGACAUGGGAUUCAGUGAUCAUGUGGUUCUCCUUUUAACUUACAUGCCGAAUAAUUUUAUAAUAAGGUAAAAGCUUAUAGUUUUCUGAUCUGUGUUAGAAGUGUUGCAAAUGCUGUACUGACUUUGUAAAAAUAUAAAACUAAGGAAAACUCA
This 1815-nucleotide small RNA is filed under the name Pongo abelii (Sumatran orangutan). Its description in RNAcentral is "processed transcript". The record is from RNAcentral. Lineage: Eukaryota; Metazoa; Chordata; Mammalia; Primates; Hominidae.